Molecule: ribosomal RNA, 496 nt
Filed under: uncultured bacterium
Lineage: Bacteria
Description: partial 16S ribosomal RNA
Rfam family: Bacterial small subunit ribosomal RNA
Source: RNAcentral
AUUGAACGCUGGAGGAAUGCUUUACACAUGCAAGUCGAACGGUACAGGGGGCAACCCCUCGAGAGUGGCGAACGGGUGAGGAAUAUAUCGGAACGUGCCCAGUCGCGGGGGGUAACGUAGCGAAAGUUAGGCUAAUACCGCAUACGAGCUAAGGAGCAAAGCGGGGGGGCGCAAGACCUCGCGCGAUUGGAUCGGCGGGUAUCAGAGUAGGUAGUUGGUGGGGUAAAGGCUCACCAAGCCAACGAUCUGUAGCUGGUCUGAGAGGACCACCAGCCACACCGGAACUGCGACCCGGUCCAGACUCCUACGGGAGGCAGCAGUGGGGAAUUUUGGACAAUGGACGCAAGUCUGAUCCAGCCAUUCCGCGUGCAGGAUGAAGGCCCUCGGGUUGUAAACUGCUUUUGUACGGAACGAAAAGGUCUCUCUUAAUACGGGGGGCUCAUGACGGUACCGUAAGAAUAAGCACCGGCUAACUACGUGCCAGCCGCCGCAGUAA